RNAcentral lists this ribosomal RNA (442 nucleotides) under uncultured Prevotella sp. Its description in RNAcentral is "bacterial SSU rRNA". It matches the Rfam family "Bacterial small subunit ribosomal RNA", at positions 355 to 794 of the family's 1533-position model. Lineage: Bacteria; Pseudomonadati; Bacteroidota; Bacteroidia; Bacteroidales; Prevotellaceae. The record is from RNAcentral.
UGAGGAAUAUUGGUCAAUGGGCGAGAGCCCGAACCAGCCAAGUCGCGUGAGGGAAGACGGUCCUACGGAUUGUAAACCUCUUUUGUCGGGGAGUAAUAGGCGGGACGUGUCCUGCUGUGAGAGUACCCGAAGAAAAAGCAUCGGCUAACUCCGUGCCAGCAGCCGCGGUAAUACGGAGGAUGCGAGCGUUAUCCGGAUUUAUUGGGUUUAAAGGGAGCGUAGGCCGCCUGGUAAGCGUGUUGUGAAAUGUCGUUGCUCAACAACGUCACUGCAGCGCGAACUGCCGGGCUUGAGUGUGCGGAAAGCGGGCGGAAUUUGUGGUGUAGCGGUGAAAUGCUUAGAUAUCACGAAGAACUCCGAUUGCGAAGGCAGCUCGCUGUAGCAUUACUGACGCUGAAGCUCGAAGGUGCGGGUAUCGAACAGGAUUAGAUACCCUGGUAGU